GUUUUUAAUGACAGGAGAAUUCUAAUACACCGAGGAGCUAGGAUUAAGAAGAAAGCUUAAAACUCCUCAGAACCUAUAAUCUACUUAUGAUUGUAUGACCUUAAAGGGGAGAGGGUAGUAUAUGUAUACUCUGUUCCAAGCUUAUUUGAUCACUGAAGCCUAUUUUUGCCAAGAAACAUCUUGGAGGCCACGGAUUUAGCUCAGUGGUUUCACCGCCUGCCUUGCAGGUGCAAGGACCCGAGUUUGAUCCCCGGUACCAAAAAAAAAAAAAUCUUGGAACAUUGAGAAAUGCUAUUCCUUUUACUUCUAAAAUUAUUAUACUUUAGGGGCGAGGGAUUUAGCUCUGUGGCUCUAUGUGCCUGCCUCGCAAACAAGAUCCUGAGUUCAACCCCUGGUACUGGGGAAAAAAUUAUUAUAUUUUACUCGAACAGUUUAUUGAGGUAACGAUUUCCAUAUUUGAACUUAGUGUAGCACUUUGGCCUAAACAAUUUUCAGGAAUUCAUAGAUAACUUUAUUUUUUAGAUUUUAAAAAUAAACACUUUCCUGUUCUCAAAAGUUGUUCUGACUUGCCCAGAUAGACCACUCAUCCCUCAUUAAUGUAGUAUUAAUAAAUUUUGAAUCAAACUCUGUUAGGAGUCAGGGAUGUAUAAGUGAUAGAGCCUUGAGCUCUGUUUCCAGUGUCUCCCAGGAUAGAACUUGAGAAUUUGCAUUUUAAUUCUCCCGCCAGCGAUUCUGAAAUGUAUGGGUGAUAGACCAGCCCAGAGGAAAUAAAGCUUGAACUUUUUUUGUGAACUUAAAUUGGCAUGUGUAUAGGUAUUUUGUAUAUGCUUACGUAUGUUUGUAUCUGUAUAUAUAUUAUACACAUGUACACAUGCUUAUUUUUAUUUAUUUAUUUUAUCACAUGAUUAUUUUUACAUUAGAAUGACCUCCCUCAACUUUUUUUCUCAUGAGCAUUUUCCCACAGCAUUAAAUAUCCUCUGAAAUGAUGAACUUCAUGAUUUUCUAUCAUUGCAUUCUAUAGAUAUGAUAUCAUUUGACAAUUUUUCUAUCUGGAACAUUUAGAUUGUUUUCCGUUAUACAUAAUUCUACAUGAGUAUUCUCAUACUAAAUAUCUCUGAGUUAUAUCCUUCCUUGGAAUUGAUUCAUCUGAGGGUCAAAAUAUCUGACUUAUGUUUUUAGGCUCAAGGUAGGAAUCAGCCGCUUGUUUUCAUGCUUGUUCAUACUCUAUGUAGGAGUGGCCUGUUUCGUGACUCUUAUGUAUAAAUGGUAUGGACAGUCAUUGAUUUAUAACCUUUCUAGCAGUUCUUCCCUAAGACAUUAGUCUUACAAUAAAAAUUAUUUUUGGCUUCUAGUACAAAUAACUUUAUUAUGUCUUUCAACUAGGACAUACAAUGCAACUGUGAUUUUGUUGAAUGUUCUUGUGCCAACUUAAAAUUUGGGUAGUUUUUACUUUAUUAAAGGGAUAAAAAUCUUUACUGCUUCAAAUAUGUCCAUGACAAAUGCACAUGAAAGUAUUUUUAUCCUCACAGAGGUAUAUAUUUACAGUAAAAUAUAUUGUAUCUGUUCUUACAAAUUCAUGCUUUUUUUCUGGUAAUGAAUAUCAGUAUUUUUCUUAUAUGGGAAUACUGAAAAGGAAGUGUUGGUCAUGGAUUUGAAUGUUCCUUCUUAGCAGAGUAAGAACAGAGUUAGGGGAGGUCGUGGAAUAAUAGUGUGAAAAUUUUUUCUUCCCUAGUAGGAAAUAACAGUGUACAAAACUGAAAAGCAAAUAGCACUUUAAAUGAAUAUUUUAAAAAGCAAAGGGAAGGGCUGGGAAUGUAGCACAGCAGUAGACCCUGCCCCUCCAAAAAAAAACAAGAAGGGGGAGGAAAUACUAGGUGAAUAGUUAGGAGUGGAAGAAGGGGUCCUUAGAAGGAGCAAAGGGAUUGGGGAGGGAUGGUUGGGAUACUACUGGGUUGUUUUGUUUUGGAGGGCUGCCAUUUUUUUUUAUAAACCUUAUACUGUAAUACUGUUUGCUGCUUUGAAUGAUUUGUAUGUGUAUAUUCAUUUACUAUAAAAAUUAAAACACACAGAUAAGCUGCUCUGAAUAAUCAUAUCAGUAAUCACUGCUUGUUUCCACAUGGGCUUUCCAGUUAGUUGACAGUUCCUUUUCAAGUCUUUGUAACAUUCCAUUCCAUUCUCUAUACUGCAGCCAGAGUGAUUUUUUUCCCAAAUGUAAAUUGGAGCUGUCUUGCAUUCCCCAGCUUGAAACUGUUCAAUGCUUUUGCCUUACCUACCUUUUCAACCUACUCUUAACCAUCAGUGCUACCUAGGUUUGCAGCCCCAGCCAUGUGGGCCUUCUUUCAGUCCUUUGUCAGGGAUUUCCAUUAUUACAAAGCCUCCGCACAGCCUGCUCCCUCAGCCUGGCGUGCUCUUUUGCUUCUUUCCAGGUUCACCAACCCUGGACCUUCAGAUCACAGGUCUGUUGUCAUAACCUCAUGGAUAGCUUGCCUGGCCCCCUACUAGGUAGCAUAUUACGCUCACAGCACUUGCACUGCACUUUCCUGGUGCUUGUCACUCAUAGCUUCAUUUUACUUUUGUAUUUGACUGUUGUUUCUUUUUGCCAAUAGCUCUAUAAGCUACACAAAGGCAUAACUAUGUCUGAUUUUGUUUCCCUUUGUGCCUAGCUCUGUGCCUGGAAUAUAGCAGACAAUAAAUAGCAUCACCUGGC
RNAcentral lists this long non-coding RNA (2707 nucleotides) under Heterocephalus glaber (naked mole-rat). Its description in RNAcentral is "lncRNA (ENSHGLG00100034077.1)". The record is from RNAcentral. Lineage: Eukaryota; Metazoa; Chordata; Mammalia; Rodentia; Bathyergidae.